AGAAAGAGAGAGAGAGAGAGAGAGAGAUGGUAGAAAUGGUCAGUCAGAUAGAAUGAGCUACUAACACAGGUCUUGCUAACAAAGCCAGGAUUAAGUAUUAUUAAAGCUAUAGAGCGCAAGAGCGGCGCAAGUCUCCCGGUCUCACUGCAAAAACAACAUGGACUGCUUAACGAGGAGAAACAGACAGAGAAAGAAGAGGAAGAGGAGGAGGAUGAAGAGGAGGAGGAGGGGUGUUUCAUCCUCCACCGACCAUCACUGGGUUCCCAUUUCUUCUAUUGAGGAAACGUCUAUAUAUCAUUAUAAAGCCAAAUAAAAUUGUGUAUAACAAAA
Molecule: long non-coding RNA, 330 nt
Organism: Tachysurus vachellii
Lineage: Eukaryota; Metazoa; Chordata; Actinopteri; Siluriformes; Bagridae
Exons: 2
Source: RefSeq, a predicted model, not a curated record